AUUGAACGCUGGCGGAAUGCUUUACACAUGCAAGUCUAACGGCAGCACGGACUUCGGUCUGGUGGCGAGUGGCGAACGGGUGAGUAAUAUAUCGGAACGUGCCCAGUCGUGGGGGAUCACGUAGCGAAAGCUACGCUAAUACCGCAUACGAUCUACGGUUGAAAGCGGGGGAUCGCAAGACCUCGCCCGAUUGGAGCGGCCGAUAUCAGAUUAGAUAGUUGGCGAGGUAAAGGCUCACCAAGCCGACGAUUUGUAGCUGGUCUGAGAGGACGACCAGCCACACUGAGACUGAGACACGGCCCAGACUCCUACGGGAGGCAGCAGUGGGGAAUUUUGGACAAUGGACGCAAGUCUGAUCCAGCCAUUCCGCGUGCAGGACGAAGGCCUUCGGGUUGUAAACUGCUUUUGUACAGAACGAAAAGCCCUGAGUUAAUACCUCGGGGUCAUGACGGUACUGUAAGAAUAAGCACCGGCUAACUACGUGCCAGCCGCCGCAGUAA
Molecule: ribosomal RNA, 500 nt
Filed under: uncultured bacterium
Lineage: Bacteria
Description: partial 16S ribosomal RNA
Rfam family: Bacterial small subunit ribosomal RNA
Source: RNAcentral